Molecule: ribosomal RNA, 301 nt
Filed under: uncultured bacterium
Lineage: Bacteria
Description: partial 16S ribosomal RNA
Rfam family: Bacterial small subunit ribosomal RNA
Source: RNAcentral
CAGCAGCCGCGGGAAUACGUAGGGUGCAAGCGUUAAUCGGAAUUACUGGGCGUAAAGCGUGCGCAGGCGGUUAUAUAAGACAGAUGUGAAAUCCCCGGGCUCAACCUGGGAACUGCAUUUGUGACUGUAUAGCUAGAGUACGGCAGAGGGGGAUGGAAUUCCGCGUGUAGCAGUGAAAUGCGUAGAUAUGCGGAGGAACACCGAUGGCGAAGGCAAUCCCCUGGGCCUGUACUGACGCUCAUGCACGAAAGCGUGGGGAGCAAACAGGAUUAGAUACCCCCGUAGUCCCUGUCUCUUUACC